CCUACGGGAGGCAGCAGUGGGGAAUAUUGGGCAAUGGGCGCAAGCCUGACCCAGCAACGCCGCGUGAAGGAAGAAGGCUUUCGGGUUGUAAACUUCUUUUAAGAGGGAAGAGCAGAAGACGGUACCUCUUAAAUAAGCCACGGCUAACUACGUGCCAGCAGCCGCGGUAAUACGUAGGUGGCAAGCGUUGUCCGGAUUUACUGGGUGUAAAGGGCGUGCAGCCGGGAAGACAAGUCAGAUGUGAAAUCCCGCGGCUCAACCGCGGAACUGCAUUUGAAACUGUUUUUCGUGAGUACCGGAGAGGUCAUCGGAAUUCCUUGUGUAGCGGUGAAAUGCGUAGAUAUAAGGAAGAACACCAGUGGCGAAGGCGGAUGACUGGACGGCAACUGACGGUGAGGCGCGAAAGCGUGGGGAGCAAACAGGAUUAGAUACCCGGGUAGUC
RNAcentral lists this ribosomal RNA (442 nucleotides) under uncultured bacterium. RNAcentral describes it as "partial 16S ribosomal RNA". It matches the Rfam family "Bacterial small subunit ribosomal RNA", at positions 338 to 795 of the family's 1533-position model. The record is from RNAcentral.